RNAcentral lists this ribosomal RNA (233 nucleotides) under uncultured bacterium. RNAcentral describes it as "partial 16S ribosomal RNA". It matches the Rfam family "Bacterial small subunit ribosomal RNA", at positions 335 to 560 of the family's 1533-position model. The record is from RNAcentral.
UGCCCUACGGGAGGCAGCAGUAGGGAAUCUUCCACAAUGGACGAAAGUCUGAUGGAGCAACGCCGCGUGAGUGAAGAAGGGUUUCGGCUCGGAAAGCUCUGUUGGUAGUGAAGAAAGAUAGAGGGAGUAACUGGCCUUUAUUUGACGGUAAUUACUUAGAAAGUCACGGCUAACUACGUGCCAGCAGCCGCGGUAAUACGUAGGUGGCAAGCGUUGGCCGGAUUUAUUUGGCG